GACGAACGCUGGCGGCGUGCCUAACACAUGCAAGUCGAACGGGGUGUCGGGAGCUUGCUUCUGACACUUAGUGGCGAACGGGUGAGUAACGCGUGAGGAACCUGCCUUUCAGUGGGGGACAACAGUUGGAAACGACUGCUAAUACCGCAUAACGUAUUCGGACCGCAUGAUCUGAAUACCAAAGCUUUAUGUGCUGAAAGAUGGCCUCGCGUCUGAUUAGCUAGUUGGUGGGGUAACGGCCCACCAAGGCGACGAUCAGUAGCCGGUCUGAGAGGAUGAACGGCCACAUUGGGACUGAGAUACGGCCCAGACUCCUACGGGAGGCAGCAGUGGGGAAUAUUGGGCAAUGGGCGCAAGCCUGACCCAGCAACGCCGCGUGAAGGAAGACGGUCUUCGGAUUGUAAACCUCUGUCCUUGGUGAGAAACAUGACGGUACCUGGAGAAAAAGCCACGGCUAACUACGUG
RNAcentral lists this ribosomal RNA (465 nucleotides) under uncultured bacterium. RNAcentral's name for it is "bacterial SSU rRNA". It matches the Rfam family "Bacterial small subunit ribosomal RNA", at positions 28 to 507 of the family's 1533-position model. The record is from RNAcentral.